AGACGGUCUCCUUUGUAAAUUUCCAGCCGAAGGUUUCCACCUCCCCGCCCAACGCGCAGACUGGCAGCUCCGGAGCAGACGGCGCGUUAGGAAGCGACGCUCCGCAGCAGCAGCAUCGCACCGAAGUGGGUCGGGGAGGAAGAGGGAGAGAAAGAGAGCGAGGGAGGCGGGAUUGGAGACGCUGCCUCGCCGGGUUUGGGGAGGAAGGUGCGUUGGGGGAGCGGUGGGAAGGGAGGAGGGAAGCGAGAGCGGCAGGGAGCCCGGAGCCCACCGCGCAACCCGGCCGGUUCCAAGAGGCUCCACUAGAAGGGCAAAGGACGGCCAAAGGCGGCGGCGGCGGCUUUCUCCACGGAGCCGGGCGAGAGCGAGAGGAGGGGAACGCCCGUUCGAGCAACAGAUGAACAGCUGGAGCGCGCUGGGCGCAGGAGAAGCGGCGUGCUUUCGAGGGAGAGGGCUGUCUUCAGCUUUCCGGGGCGACCCCAGGCUCGAGGCCAAGGCAGUUCGCCGGCUUCAAAGAGAACGGCCAUUAGAUUCCUCACCUGCAUGGAAGCCCAAGCUUCUUCGUUUGCUGUUCCUGGAAUGCUGAACAAAAGCCCUUCUCUGGAAGUCUGUGAGUCAACCUCCAGCAGGAUGACAUGAAAUUGAUUGCACAGUUCCAGCAAUAAGGACUACCUCCUGGUCCUAUUUACAAAAGAGGCUUGUUAAAGCCUUGAAGAACUCUGUGUGAUGGGGCAAAUAAGAAAUGAAGAGAAAUCAAAUCCCACAGCAAUAUUUGAAUGAGCUAAAGAUUAAGACUGUUAGAAGUAAAAGGAAGGAAUAUAAAGUUGGUUUAUUUGAUCAAGGUUAAAACAAGAUAUGUUGUUACUUUUGGUAACCCUUUAUGGACUUUCUGCUGACACCAGGACUGAAAAGAUUAUGUUUUAAGGAUUUGUUUAUAGGUAAGAUAUGGGAUAUGGGAUGCAGAGAUAAAUGUUUGUAACCUUAGAGGUGAUGAAGAGUCACUAAAUUAGUUUACACUUGUGAUGA
Long non-coding RNA from Candoia aspera, 1026 nucleotides. RefSeq lists it as uncharacterized. The transcript has 3 exons. The record is from RefSeq and is a predicted model, not a curated record. Lineage: Eukaryota; Metazoa; Chordata; Lepidosauria; Squamata; Candoiidae.